AUGGUAUAUGUGUCUCCCGUAUAUGUGUCUCCCUCAUGAUCUGCACCAGCAGCUCCAUGGUCCUCGUCCUGCAUAGAUACAAGCAGAGAGUCCAACAUGUUCGCAGCCGCAACCUCUCCCGCAGAACAUCUCAUGAAACCACAACCACACACACCAUCCUCAUCCUGGCACCAUGGUCUCAUCCAUCUGCACAGCUGCAGCCAGUGGGAGGAGACGCCGUGAGCCCUGCCCUCAUGGUUCUGCUCUGCCUCGGGUUAGAAAGCCAAGAGGGGCAGCUGCAGGUACAUGUAAUCAUAUCCAUCAGUGCUGGGGUCUGAGGUUCGUGAGACGAAGCCACAAUAUUAUGAGAAAGCAAAGAUGUGUAAAAACCCCACUGUUUAGAAUCUCCUCUCUCUCACAUGUCACACGAAGCGUUUCAGAUUUUCUACUAAAAACCAUGCAGCUUUACAAGACUCCCAGGCCCCUACCCUAUCCUGCGGGAUGAGUGAUGAAAUGUGUACAUUUAGUCUAAUUUAAAAAAUUCUUCAACUACUUUAAUUAUUCUUAAGUGAAGUAUUUGAUUCAUGUAUAUUUCUUUUGUUUGUUUGUUUGUUUUUGUUUUUGAGAUGGAGUCUUGCUCUGUCGCCCAGCCUGGAGUGCAGUGGCGCGAUCUCGGCUCACUGCAAGCUCCACCUCCUGGGUUCACGCCAUUGUCCUGCCUCAGCCUCCCGAGUAGCUGGGACUACAGGCACCCACCACCAUGCCGGGCUAAUUUUUUUGUAUUUUUAGUAGAGAUGGGGUUUCACUGUGUUAGCCAGGAUGGUCUCGAUCUCCUGACCUCGUGAUCCACCCACCUAGGCCUCCCAAAGUGCUGGGAUUACAGGCGUGAGCCACCAUGCCCAGCCUGAUUCAUUUAUAUUUCUAAGUAAGAUAUACACAUGAGAAAGCUUUUAGUUUGAGUAUAUUCAUUUAAUUUCAUUUUAGCUUGCUAUAACAUUUUUCCCUUUCAAUUAUCUUUCAACUGAUCUCCCCAAAUUUACUGAUAAAAUUUAUAUUAACUAUAAGAAAAUUGAAAUUUUAUUUUUUAUUUCUAAACCGCAUAUCAAUUUUUGUCACUUCAAGUAUUAAUAUGCAUGUAACUGCAUCUUAAAUAAAUAUCUAAAGUUUUACAUA
This 1152-nucleotide unclassified non-coding RNA is filed under the name Homo sapiens (human). Its description in RNAcentral is "leukocyte immunoglobulin like receptor A5 (ENSG00000274914.4)". The record is from RNAcentral. Lineage: Eukaryota; Metazoa; Chordata; Mammalia; Primates; Hominidae.